This 2889-nucleotide ribosomal RNA is filed under the name Escherichia coli. Its description in RNAcentral is "23S ribosomal RNA". It matches the Rfam family "Bacterial large subunit ribosomal RNA". The record is from RNAcentral. Lineage: Bacteria; Pseudomonadati; Pseudomonadota; Gammaproteobacteria; Enterobacterales; Enterobacteriaceae.
UUAAGCGACUAAGCGUACACGGUGGAUGCCCUGGCAGUCAGAGGCGAUGAAGGACGUGCUAAUCUGCGAUAAGCGUCGGUAAGGUGAUAUGAACCGUUAUAACCGGCGAUUUCCGAAUGGGGAAACCCAGUGUGAUUUGUCACACUAUCAUUAACUGAAUCCAUAGGUUAAUGAGGCGAACCGGGGGAACUGAAACAUCUAAGUACCCCGAGGAAAAGAAAUCAACCGAGAUUCCCCCAGUAGCGGCGAGCGAACGGGGAGGAGCCCAGAGCCUGAAUCAGUGUGUGUGUUAGUGGAAGCGUCUGGAAAGGCGCGCGAUACAGGGUGACAGCCCCGUACACAAAAAUGCACAUGCUGUGAGCUCGAUGAGUAGGGCGGGACACGUGGUAUCCUGUCUGAAUAUGGGGGGACCAUCCUCCAAGGCUAAAUACUCCUGACUGACCGAUAGUGAACCAGUACCGUGAGGGAAAGGCGAAAAGAACCCCGGCGAGGGGAGUGAAAAAGAACCUGAAACCGUGUACGUACAAGCAGUGGGAGCACGCUUCGGCGUGUGACUGCGUACCUUUUGUAUAAUGGGUCAGCGACUUAUAUUCUGUAGCAAGGUUAACCGAAUAGGGGAGCCGAAGGGAAACCGAGUCUUAACUGGGCGUUAAGUUGCAGGGUAUAGACCCGAAACCCGGUGAUCUAGCCAUGGGCAGGUUGAAGGUUGGGUAACACUAACUGGAGGACCGAACCGACUAAUGUUGAAAAAUUAGCGGAUGACUUGUGGCUGGGGGUGAAAGGCCAAUCAAACCGGGAGAUAGCUGGUUCUCCCCGAAAGCUAUUUAGGUAGCGCCUCGUGAAUUCAUCUCCGGGGGUAGAGCACUGUUUCGGCAAGGGGGUCAUCCCGACUUACCAACCCGAUGCAAACUGCGAAUACCGGAGAAUGUUAUCACGGGAGACACACGGCGGGUGCUAACGUCCGUCGUGAAGAGGGAAACAACCCAGACCGCCAGCUAAGGUCCCAAAGUCAUGGUUAAGUGGGAAACGAUGUGGGAAGGCCCAGACAGCCAGGAUGUUGGCUUAGAAGCAGCCAUCAUUUAAAGAAAGCGUAAUAGCUCACUGGUCGAGUCGGCCUGCGCGGAAGAUGUAACGGGGCUAAACCAUGCACCGAAGCUGCGGCAGCGACACUAUGUGUUGUUGGGUAGGGGAGCGUUCUGUAAGCCUGUGAAGGUGGCCUGUGAGGGUUGCUGGAGGUAUCAGAAGUGCGAAUGCUGACAUAAGUAACGAUAAAGCGGGUGAAAAGCCCGCUCGCCGGAAGACCAAGGGUUCCUGUCCAACGUUAAUCGGGGCAGGGUGAGUCGACCCCUAAGGCGAGGCCGAAAGGCGUAGUCGAUGGGAAACAGGUUAAUAUUCCUGUACUUGGUGUUACUGCGAAGGGGGGACGGAGAAGGCUAUGUUGGCCGGGCGACGGUUGUCCCGGUUUAAGCGUGUAGGCUGAUUUUCCAGGCAAAUCCGGAAAAUCAAGGCUGAGGCGUGAUGACGAGGCACUACGGUGCUGAAGCAACAAAUGCCCUGCUUCCAGGAAAAGCCUCUAAGCAUCAGGUAACAUCAAAUCGUACCCCAAACCGACACAGGUGGUCAGGUAGAGAAUACCAAGGCGCUUGAGAGAACUCGGGUGAAGGAACUAGGCAAAAUGGUGCCGUAACUUCGGGAGAAGGCACGCUGAUAUGUAGGUGAAGCGACUUGCUCGUGGAGCUGAAAUCAGUCGAAGAUACCAGCUGGCUGCAACUGUUUAUUAAAAACACAGCACUGUGCAAACACGAAAGUGGACGUAUACGGUGUGACGCCUGCCCGGUGCCGGAAGGUUAAUUGAUGGGGUUAGCGGUAACGCGAAGCUCUUGAUCGAAGCCCCGGUAAACGGCGGCCGUAACUAUAACGGUCCUAAGGUAGCGAAAUUCCUUGUCGGGUAAGUUCCGACCUGCACGAAUGGCGUAAUGAUGGCCAGGCUGUCUCCACCCGAGACUCAGUGAAAUUGAACUCGCUGUGAAGAUGCAGUGUACCCGCGGCAAGACGGAAAGACCCCGUGAACCUUUACUAUAGCUUGACACUGAACAUUGAGCCUUGAUGUGUAGGAUAGGUGGGAGGCUUUGAAGUGUGGACGCCAGUCUGCAUGGAGCCGACCUUGAAAUACCACCCUUUAAUGUUUGAUGUUCUAACGUUGACCCGUGAUCCGGGUUGCGGACAGUGUCUGGUGGGUAGUUUGACUGGGGCGGUCUCCUCCUAAAGAGUAACGGAGGAGCACGAAGGUUGGCUAAUCCUGGUCGGACAUCAGGAGGUUAGUGCAAUGGCAUAAGCCAGCUUGACUGCGAGCGUGACGGCGCGAGCAGGUGCAUCAUAGUGAUCCGGUGGUUCUGAAUGGAAGGGCCAUCGCUCAACGGAUAAAAGGUACUCCGGGGAUAACAGGCUGAUACCGCCCAGAGUUCAUAUCGACGGCGGUGUUUGGCACCUCGAUGUCGGCUCAUCACAUCCUGGGGCUGAAGUAGGUCCCAAGGGUAUGGCUGUUCGCCAUUUAAAGUGGUACGCGAGCUGGGUUUAGAACGUCGUGAGACAGUUCGGUCCCUAUCUGCCGUGGGCGCUGGAGAACUGAGGGGGCUGCUCCUAGUACGAGGACCGGGUGGACGCAUCACUGGUGUUCGGGUUGUCAUGCCAAUGGCACUGCCCGGUAGCUAAAUGCGGAAGAGAUAAGUGCUGAAAGCAUCUAAGCACGAAACUUGCCCCGAGAUGAGUUCUCCCUGACUCCUUGAGAGUCCUGAAGGAACGUUGAAGACGACGACGUUGAUAGGCCGGGUGUGUAAGCGCAGCGAUGCGUUGAGCUAACCGGUACUAAUGAACCGUGAGGCUUAACCU